RNAcentral lists this ribosomal RNA (497 nucleotides) under uncultured bacterium. Its description in RNAcentral is "partial 16S ribosomal RNA". It matches the Rfam family "Bacterial small subunit ribosomal RNA", at positions 28 to 507 of the family's 1533-position model. The record is from RNAcentral.
GAUGAACGCUGGCGGCGUGCCUAAUGCAUGCAAGUCGAGCGAACGGACGAGAAGCUUGCUUCUCUGAUGUUAGCGGCGGACGGGUGAGUAACACGUGGAUAACCUACCUAUAAGACUGGGAUAACUUCGGGAAACCGGAGCUAAUACCGGAUAAUAUUUUGAACCGCAUGGUUCAAAAGUGAAAGACGGUCUUGCUGUCACUUAUAGAUGGAUCCGCGCUGCAUUAGCUAGUUGGUAAGGUAACGGCUUACCAAGGCAACGAUGCAUAGCCGACCUGAGAGGGUGAUUGGCCACACUGGAACUGAGACACGGUCCAGACUCCUACGGGAGGCAGCAGUAGGGAAUCUUCCGCAAUGGGCGAAAGCCUGACGGAGCAACGCCGCGUGAGUGAUGAAGGUCUUCGGAUCGUAAAACUCUGUUAUUAGGGAAGAACAUAUGUGUAAGUAACUGUGCACAUCUUGACGGUACCUAAUCAGAAAGCCACGGCUAACUACGUG